ACACGUAGGAGGCGAAACGUUAUCCGGAUUUACUGGGCGUAAAGCGCGUGUAGGUGGUUCUGUAAGUAGGGCGUGAAAGCUCCUGGCUCAACUGGGAGAGGCCGUUCUAAACUGCAGAGCUAGAGGAUGGUAGAGGGAGGUGGAAUUCCGGGUGUAGCGGUGGAAUGCGCAGAUAUCCGGAGGAACACCAGUGGCGAAGGCGGCCUCCUGGACCAUUCCUGACACUCAGACGCGAAAGCUAGGGUAGC
Molecule: ribosomal RNA, 248 nt
Filed under: uncultured bacterium
Lineage: Bacteria
Description: partial 16S ribosomal RNA
Rfam family: Bacterial small subunit ribosomal RNA
Source: RNAcentral